AGUGAACGCUGGCGGUAGGCUUAACACAUGCAAGUCGAACGGCAGCACAGUAAGAGCUUGCUCUUACGGGUGGCGAGUGGCGGACGGGUGAGGAAUACAUCGGAAUCUACUUUUUCGUGGGGGAUAACGAAGGGAAACUUACGCUAAUACCGCAUACGACCUACGGGUGAAAGCAGGGGAUCUUCGGACCUUGCGCGAUUGAAUGAGCCGAUGUCGGAUUAGCUAGUUGGCGGGGUAAAGGCCCACCAAGGCGACGAUCCGUAGCUGGUCUGAGAGGAUGAUCAGCCACACUGGAACUGAGACACGGUCCAGACUCCUACGGGAGGCAGCAGUGGGGAAUAUUGGACAAUGGGCGCAAGCCUGAUCCAGCCAUACCGCGUGGGUGAAGAAGGCCUUCGGGUUGUAAAGCCCUUUUGUUGGGAAAGAAAAGCAGCAGGUUAAUACCCCGCUGUUCUGACGGUACCCAAAGAAUAAGCACCGGCUAACUUCGUG
This 492-nucleotide ribosomal RNA is filed under the name uncultured bacterium. Its description in RNAcentral is "partial 16S ribosomal RNA". It matches the Rfam family "Bacterial small subunit ribosomal RNA", at positions 29 to 507 of the family's 1533-position model. The record is from RNAcentral.